UGGGGAAUAUUGCACAAUGGGCGAAAGCCUGAUGCAGCGACGCCGCGUGAGGGAUGACGGCCUUCGGGUUGUAAACCUCUUUCAGCAGGGACGAAGCGCAAGUGACGGUACCUGCAGAAGAAGCACCGGCUAACUACGUGCCAGCAGCCGCGGUAAUACGUAGGGUGCAAGCGUUGUCCGGAAUUACUGGGCGUAAAGAGUUCGUAGGCGGUUUGUCGCGUCGUUUGUGAAAACCAGUAGCUCAACUGCUGGCUUGCAGGCGAUACGGGCAGACUUGAGUACUGCAGGGGAGACUGGAAUUCCUGGUGUAGCGGUGAAAUGCGCAGAUAUCAGGAGGAACACCGGUGGCGAAGGCGGGUCUCUGGGCAGUAACUGACGCUGAGGAACGAAAGCGUGGGUAGCGAACAGG
Molecule: ribosomal RNA, 409 nt
Filed under: bacterium
Lineage: Bacteria
Description: partial 16S ribosomal RNA
Rfam family: Bacterial small subunit ribosomal RNA
Source: RNAcentral